GAUGAACACUGGCGGCGUGCCUAAUACAUGCAAGUCGAGCGAACGGACGAGAAGCUUGCUUCUCUGAUGUUAGCGGCGGACGGGUGAGUAACACGUGGAUAACCUACCUAUAAGACUGGGAUAACUUCGGGAAACCGUAGCUAAUACCGGAUAAUAUUUUGAACCGCAUGGUUCAAAAGUGAAAGACGGUCUUGCUGUCACUUAUAGAUGGAUCCGCGCUGCAUUAGCUAGUUGGUAAGGUAACGGCUUACCAAGGCAACGAUGCAUAGCCGACCUGAGAGGGUGAUCGGCCACACUGGAACUGAGACACGGUCCAGACUCCUACGGGAGGCAGCAGUAGGGAAUCUUCCGCAAUGGGCGAAAGCCUGACGGAGCAACGCCGCGUGAGUGAUGAAGGUCUUCGGAUCGUAAAACUCUGUUAUUAGGGAAGAACAUAUGCGUAAGUAACUGUGCACAUCUUGACGGUACCUAAUCAGAAAGCCACGGCUAACUACGUG
This 497-nucleotide ribosomal RNA is filed under the name uncultured bacterium. RNAcentral describes it as "partial 16S ribosomal RNA". It matches the Rfam family "Bacterial small subunit ribosomal RNA", at positions 28 to 507 of the family's 1533-position model. The record is from RNAcentral.